This is a long non-coding RNA of Hydra vulgaris (swiftwater hydra), 416 nucleotides long. RefSeq lists it as uncharacterized. Lineage: Eukaryota; Metazoa; Cnidaria; Hydrozoa; Anthoathecata; Hydridae. The record is from RefSeq and is a predicted model, not a curated record.
CAAUGCCAAAGUGGGCUUUUGGAUGGCGGUAAGCUGUCGUAAAAAACAUCAAAAGCAAGCGUUUCAAGCGCCAUGAGACUUUGAUUGGUCGAUAUCGAUAUAUAGUGAUUUAUGGUUUUAUUUUAUUAGUGUUUAUUAAAUACUAAGAGAUUUUUUCUAAUUCAAAUGUCGACUUUUUGUUACAUGAAAAAAGAUACUUAUUUCAACCCCUCGACUAUAUUGAUACACUUAGUAUGUGGAGUUACUUGUCAAUAGCUGGCGAUGAAACUUUUAAACGUAACGUCUUUAAGGGCUGAGAAGGUAAAAAUUAGAAGUCUGCAGACUGCAACGUAAAUCGAUUUCAACACGUUAUGGCUUCUCGAAUAUAUUUAGUUUCCGAUUGAAAUGAGAAUAAACUAAACUUAUAUAUAAAGUGU